AUAGUAUGAAGAAAGCAUACUUGUGGUUAAACAUUUGUAAUGGAAAACUGAGGUGAAAAGAAGUUUGGAAACAGAAGAAAUAAUCAUGAAUGAGAAAGGAGAAACGGCUGCUGCUUGCAUCAACAAUUGGGUCAAGCAUCUGUGUUCUGAAGCGAAUAUUUAGUCCUGGUAUCAACUAGAGGUUACAUCAAGUCUAUGGCUGGCAUGAUUCAUGAAGAGUUGGGGAAUUCUCUAAGCCUGAGGAGGUAACGAAAUUUUUUAGUGCCCAUGGAGUUCCUGUCAAUUAUGUUGAGAAAGCUGGUAUUCCAUGCAGAAAAAAGAUGUAGUAGUGCAGAACUUGAAAAGCUGAGGAUUUGGCAAUGAUCAUACCGCGGCAUGCCAGGUUUGACUUUAAAAUCCAAUUUCUUUAUUUUAAUCUUUCUUGUCUGCCCCAAAUUAU
Mangifera indica (mango) is the source of this 439-nucleotide long non-coding RNA. RefSeq lists it as uncharacterized. The transcript is spliced from 4 exons. The record is from RefSeq and is a predicted model, not a curated record. NCBI's taxonomy places the organism in Eukaryota, Viridiplantae, Streptophyta, Magnoliopsida, Sapindales, Anacardiaceae.